CCGCAAUGGAUACGACAUAUUUUGUUAAUUCCAAUCCCCAUGAGGUCUUGCAUUCAUAAUCCAAAUGAUGCAUGGCAUGCAUAUUAUUUGAAAAUGGGAAGGCGUAUUUUUACGUCCAAACACAGUGCAAAUGCUAAUAUUUAAGUAUCUUCGUCCUGUCAAGCCAAAGACUCCGUCUCUUGACUCUCCAGACAAAGAAACUUAAAUAGGGGCAGCUGUUAUACCCUGUUUUUGGACCUAAAAUUACUGGGCCCAAUUGCAUUUCAAACUUUGUCAAAAAUCAAAUUUCAACUGCACAGUUCAAAUUGUCUCUGCCUCGCAGUAUUUUCAAUCACA
RNAcentral lists this long non-coding RNA (336 nucleotides) under Medicago truncatula (barrel medic). Its description in RNAcentral is "long non-coding RNA (MTRU_LNC008768)". Lineage: Eukaryota; Viridiplantae; Streptophyta; Magnoliopsida; Fabales; Fabaceae. The record is from RNAcentral.